RNAcentral lists this ribosomal RNA (253 nucleotides) under uncultured bacterium. Its description in RNAcentral is "partial 16S ribosomal RNA". It matches the Rfam family "Bacterial small subunit ribosomal RNA", at positions 524 to 776 of the family's 1533-position model. The record is from RNAcentral.
GACGUAGGGAGCGAGCGUUACUCGGAAUUACUGGGCGUAAAGCGCAUGUAGGCGGCCGAACAAGUCAGGUGUGAAAUCCUCGGGCUUAACCUGGGAAGUGCACUUGAUACUGUCCGGCUAGAGUUUGGCAGAGGAAAGUAGAAUUCCCGGUGUAGCGGGGAAAUGCGUAGAUAUCGGGAGGAAUCCCAGUGGCGAAUGCGGCUUUCUGGGCCAAUACUGACGCUGAGUUGCGAAACCGUGGGGAGCAAACAGG